ACAGUAGAGAGGCUACAUACAGUAGAGGCUAUAUACAGUAGAGAGGCUACAUACAGUAGAGAGGCUAUAUACAGUAGAGAGGCUAUAUACAGUAGAGAGGCUAUAUACAGUAGAGAGGUUAUAUACAGUAGAGAGGAUAUAUACAGUAGAGAGGCUAUAUACAGUAGAGAGGCUAUAUACAGUAGAGAGGCUAUAUACAGUAGAGAGGCUAUAUACAGUAGAGAGGCUAUAUACAGUAGAGAAGCUAUAUACAGUAGAGAGGUUAUAUACAGUAGAGAGGCUAUAUACAGUAGAGAGGCUAUAUACAGUAGAGAGGCUAUAUACAGUAGAGAGGCUACAUACAGUAGAGAGUCUAUAUACAGUAGAGAGGCUACAUACAGUAGAGAGGCUAUAUACAGUAGAGAGGCUAUAUACAGUAGAGGCUAUAUACAGUAGAGAGGAUAUAUACAGUAGAGAGGAUAUAUACAGUAGAGAGGCUAUAUACAGUAGAGAGGCUAUAUACAGUAGAGAGGUUAUAUACAGUAGAGAGGCUAUAUACAGUAGCGAGGCUACAUACAGUAGAGGCUAUAUACAGUAGAGAGGCUAUAUACAGUAGAGAGGCUAUAUACAGUAGAGAGGCUAUAUACAGUAGAGAGGCUAUAUACAGUAGAGAAGCUAUAUACAGUAGAGAGGAUAUAUACAGUAGAGAGGCUAUAUACAGUAGAGAGGCUAU
This 712-nucleotide long non-coding RNA is filed under the name Salmo salar (Atlantic salmon). Its description in RNAcentral is "lncRNA (ENSSSAG00000115434.1)". The record is from RNAcentral. Lineage: Eukaryota; Metazoa; Chordata; Actinopteri; Salmoniformes; Salmonidae.